GGGUGGGGAGGUGGCAGUGGAAACAAAUGAGUGGCCAAUCAGGCUUUCCAGGAACGUCUCAUCAUGACACACUGCUCUCUGCCAACUGCCGGAGCUGAGCGGAAUAAAGAUGAGUGUGUGAGGACCCUAUUGAGGGGGCACAAUGAUAGUACCCUGCCUAAUCUCGGCCAAGGGAUCGAGAGUCAGAGGGACAUUUUGUCCAUGUGAAUGUCUCUUUGCUGAGUGACAGGUUAUUGAUCAGCAUGAGAUGGGAGAACCAAACAGCAAACGGUAACACAGAAAGCAAAAGGCCCUUCAAGGUGGUAAUUGUUACGUGAUACAUAUGAAGGAUAUAUGGGAGUUAGUUCUUUUCGGUGCCGAGAAGGGCCAAAGAUUAUAGAACCUAGUGUCACCAUGGUCAUUGCUUCUUCCUUCCCCCCAUUCCAGAAACAGAAAAGGAAAAGUCCUGUUGUCAAGACCUCCAAGGACAAGAACCAGUGAAGCCUGGGCCAUUGUGAGGAUUGAAUGAGCUAAUGCAGGCCCACGUGCCCACCUCAUGGUAAGAACUUCAGAGACAUUAGCCAUUACUAUUCCAACUGAUCACACACACUCAGUGCCACCAAGGAUGAUGCCACUGCAGUGUCUCCCUAUCUCCCUACCUUAGGUUUCACGUUUUGGCGAGCAAAUGCAGCAGGAAUAAAUUUUCAGUGGCCUGGGAGCCACAGCUAUACCCUUUUGCCAUAAGAAACUCCCAAACUCUCUCUCUCUCUUUC
Molecule: long non-coding RNA, 752 nt
Filed under: Pan troglodytes (chimpanzee)
Lineage: Eukaryota; Metazoa; Chordata; Mammalia; Primates; Hominidae
Description: long non-coding RNA NONPTRT001260
Source: RNAcentral